AAAGAAACAGAAGUUUCGAGUACCCCUUCUAAAGAUCAAGGUCGCUACACACGGUGGAAAUCUCUCGGUCUCUCUCCCAACGCGAGAGGCGGUUUCCAGGCGGGCUGCCUCCACUGGUCUCCAUCGCCUCCGGUAAGCCGUCGGGCUCUCGGAGGUGUGCGGGACAGUGUACGACCGCGAGGCGGUUGUAGAUAAUGUUGUUUUAGAAUUUUAUUCUGGCACUGGCGGGCAGGUAGGGGCGACGUCAACGCUGUGGGAUAAGGUUCCCCCUGGCUCCUUUCCCGUCUCCGCGGUGAUCCCUCCGGCCGGUGGCACUGCGGGGUUAGGGAGGUUGGCCUCUCUCUUAUCCGGCGAGGUUUGGUCGGUGAUGGGGGUGCACAAUAGUAUAGAAGUUGGGAUUUGUGGAGAGGGAUUCCCAGAUCAGGUCGCCUCGGACGGCCGACAGCUGCGCACUGUUGCGGGCGAAGUGGUUUGAGUUGCGGCUCCACUCCGUCAUAGGCUGCCGCUGGUCAAGGGAUCACUUGGUCUACCCCAGGCCGAUGCACCAGAACCCUCCCUGGUUCCGUCUUUUGGGGAGGGACUUAUAUGCGGCUCACAAAGCCAUGGAUUGGCGAUGCUGCUCCUCAUGCCCGUUGUCUUGUGGAUGACGGCUAGCACCGGCGAGUGCAGAGAUCAGCGUGCCUGGGUGAAUAAGGAAGAUGAACUGGGCUGUAAGUUACUUUGUUUUCUCUGUCGGCGUUAUUCCCUUUAGUGUUAUCUCUGCCUCUCUAGUUCUCAACCUCCAACGACAUGCCCUUUUUUGUGCUGGCCAUGGAGGCUAGCAGCGGCAGGACUGCCAUGACUAGGCCGCGCAAUAUUUCUAACAGUGUUGAGCUACUCGUUCCCGACAGCUCCGGUGCCAAGCUGCCAAGCAGGUAUGUGUGUGAUGGAUCUUUUAAUUUUAAGUUUGCUUCCUGUUCGAUUAGGUGCAUAUUUCGCAAGAUAAUGUUGUUCUAUCAUGUCUCUGAUUUUGAUUUCGAUUUUGAUUUUUCCUGCAGAUUUCAGGAUAUAGAAGGCAGCUUCAGGAAGGGGUCGCUGACGAGGUGAGACCAUUGCGUCUAUUCUUGUGUUAGUUUGUUUCAAAGAAAUCACACUAAUUUCUCUCAGUAUACUCUGCAGAGAAAUAAGUACUGAAGCAGGCUUCACCGAAGACUACUGAUCUAGAAUUGUUUGUUGCUGAAAUAAGUCCAGGAGCGGUGGAGCAGGCUGAACAAUUUUCUGUUGAUUUUACUGAAUGGAUUGUCCCUGUAAUUUGACCAAACGUCAUGUCGCCGUGCCACUGAAGUUUUUGCACAGAAUUCUUGUCUUUUUGGGUGGUGCCAAGCUGUCUUUUUGUUGAACAAUGCCACAAUUGCAUAGUUGUAAGUUAUUUAGGAUUGUCUCUAUUGCAUACGACCUGGAGUUACAAGAGGUCCAGUACUAAUUUUGUGUAUGUAUGUACAUGUGCAGUCACCCAUUUUCUAUACACAAGAUUCCAAAGCAUCUUUUACUGUACAUUUUGUUUCUUUUCUCGGUACAAAAUGUAUUGCAAGUGUUGUUCAUUUUUUCCCUUCUCUAAAUAUACUAGAGACCCUCUAAGGGCUCAGUUUUCUUCCCGUUUGUCUGAAUAUACCCAGAUUUAUUUUGUGUGUGCGUAUUUAACAAAGCAUUUAGUUA
This 1695-nucleotide long non-coding RNA is filed under the name Triticum aestivum (bread wheat). RNAcentral's name for it is "long non-coding RNA (TAES_LNC022513)". The record is from RNAcentral. Lineage: Eukaryota; Viridiplantae; Streptophyta; Magnoliopsida; Poales; Poaceae.